RNAcentral lists this ribosomal RNA (507 nucleotides) under uncultured bacterium. RNAcentral describes it as "bacterial SSU rRNA". It matches the Rfam family "Bacterial small subunit ribosomal RNA", at positions 29 to 511 of the family's 1533-position model. The record is from RNAcentral.
AACGAACGUUGGCGGCGUGGAUUAGGCAUGCAAGUCGAACGAGAAAGCCACCUUCGGGUGGUUAGUAAAGUGGCGAACGGGUGAGUAACGCGUGGGAAUCUGCCCUACAGUUGGGGAUAACACUCCUAACGGAGUGCUAAUACCGAAUGAGACCACGAGAUCGCAUGGUCUUGAGGUUGAAGGUGGCCUCUCCUUGGAAGCUACCGCUGCAGGAGGAUCCCGCGUCCCAUUAGCUUGUUGGCAGGGUAACGGCCUACCAAGGCUUCGAUGGGUAGCUGGUCUGAGAGGAUGGUCAGCCACACUGGGACUGAGAUACGGCCCAGACUCCUACGGGAGGCAGCAGUCGAGAGGCUUCGGCAAUGGGGGAAACCCUGACCGAGCGACGCCGCGUGGCGAUGAAGGUUGUAAGAUCGUAAAGCCCUGUCAGGAGGGAAGAACUGCCAAUGGGCAAACAGGCCAUUGGUUUGACGGUACCUCCAGAGGAAGCUCCGGCUAACUCCGUGCCAG